This 854-nucleotide long non-coding RNA is filed under the name Coffea arabica (coffee). RNAcentral's name for it is "long non-coding RNA (CARA_LNC004072)". Lineage: Eukaryota; Viridiplantae; Streptophyta; Magnoliopsida; Gentianales; Rubiaceae. The record is from RNAcentral.
UCAGUCUUCACAAUUACCAAGAUUGAAAAGGACAUAACUCAAUGAAUAGCAGUUGACUAAUCCACCAACAAUGGUCAGGAAAAGGGCUUGGAACCCCAAGAGCCAAGAUCAAUUAGCUAACUUGCUUUAGCUGAUCAGCUCAGAGAACCAUAAUAAAGAAAAUGAGGCUGUACAGAGAGAUGGGAUUUUCUUAAAGGGUGGUUGCCCCUCUCUGUUUAGCCGAUGAUUUUCUUAGUGAUCUUCAAUCUCCACAACGAACCCAAAAGAAAGAAAAAAAAAAAUUUCCAACAGCCCUUUCGUCUUUCUGAAACCCUGAGGAUGAUGUAUCUUCCAUGGAUUGCAGAGGAGUACAGUCUUCUGGGUUUCAACCAGAACGUAUGUUUUCUGUUCCUGUACGUAUCUUAAUUUGGUCCUCCUGCAUUCAGUGUAUACUAAACUUCCAGGUUAAACAACAACCAUUUUGGAUCUCGAAUUUUGAGGCUGUGACGAUGAUUUGAUUUCUCUGAGCAAAUAAACGUUAGGCAUCUGAGGUAAAAGUGGGCCGUAUCUUGGUUGGGCAACCCGGAUGGCAGCGGUCGGAAAUCUCAUUGCGGGUUUUUCCUGAUCUGCAUCUGCAACCGGUUUUUUUGCAGCCAUGGCGGUUCACGUCUCUUACUGCUUGACUUGUGGAUUUCUGAUCUGAGCCUCACAUAUAUAUAUAUAUAUUAAUAUAUACAUACAUACAUAUAUCUGUAUAUAUAUAUUUAUAUAUAUGGUCUUAGCUCAUGUCCCUUCAAACCUUCCUACGAGUAUUAUUAUGAUUUUUGCACCUCAGAAUAUUUUCCCUUUUUUUUCUUUAAGCUCAUCAAUUCAUA